Molecule: long non-coding RNA, 534 nt
Filed under: Phascolarctos cinereus (koala)
Lineage: Eukaryota; Metazoa; Chordata; Mammalia; Diprotodontia; Phascolarctidae
Description: lncRNA (ENSPCIG00000035451.1)
Source: RNAcentral
CUGGUCUUUCCCAGUUAUUACCAGAUCUCUCAGUCAUCCAAGGAGGUAUUGAUGGAGUCUUUGGGGAGUGAGACAGAGACCUCUUGGUCUGACUCUGCCUUGCUUCAUUGUCUGGUCUAAUCUUUAAGAAGAGAAGAAAAGAGAAGAGAAGAGGAGAGGAGAAAAAGGAAGGAGAGGAAAAAAGAAGAAGAGAGGAGAGGAGAGAAGAGGAGGGGGAAGAGAGAAGAGCAGAGAGGGAAAGAGGUCUCUUUGCUGUCUUAGAAGGCUGGACUUGUCUUGAAGACUCUCCAAAAGAAGAUGCUAACUUGGGGUGCUUAAUCAUUGACCAUUGUCUUACCUUCAGUCUCAACUGGUGUUUCUGUGACGACAGAAGAAAACUCCCUGAAGAUUUUGCUGGAAUUCUCCAAAGACUUCCAUUGCUCCUCAAUGACUUCAGCUCCAGCAGAAUAUUUACAUAUCCAAACAUCUGCCCUUCCUGAAUAUGGGGUGUAGAAAGCUAAUAAAAGCAAAGUCUGAGUGUAGAAACUUCUUUAU